This 84-nucleotide transfer RNA is filed under the name bacterium. RNAcentral's name for it is "tRNA-Leu". It matches the Rfam family "tRNA". From Rfam's summary of the family: Transfer RNA (tRNA) molecules are approximately 80 nucleotides in length. Their secondary structure includes four short double-helical elements and three loops (D, anti-codon, and T loops). Further hydrogen bonds mediate the characteristic L-shaped molecular structure. tRNAs have two regions of fundamental functional importance: the anti-codon, which is responsible for specific mRNA codon recognition, and the 3' end, to which the tRNAs corresponding amino acid is attached (by aminoacyl-tRNA synthetases). tRNAs cope with the degeneracy of the genetic code in two manners: having more than one tRNA (with a specific anti-codon) for a particular amino acid; and 'wobble' base-pairing, i.e. permitting non-standard base-pairing at the 3rd anti-codon position. RNAcentral also lists the same sequence under 1 other name. The record is from RNAcentral.
GCCGAGGUGGCGGAAAUGGCAGACGCGCUAGCCUCAGGAGUUAGUGAGCUUACGCUCAUGGGGGUUCAAAUCCCCCCCUCGGCA